GCUUUUAAAGGAUAAGAAGUAAUCCACCGGCCUUAGGUGCCGUCAAUCUUGGUGCAAGUCCAAGUAGAAGCU
Molecule: transfer RNA, 72 nt
Filed under: Geotria australis
Lineage: Eukaryota; Metazoa; Chordata; Hyperoartia; Petromyzontiformes; Geotriidae
Description: tRNA-Leu
Rfam family: tRNA
About the family: Transfer RNA (tRNA) molecules are approximately 80 nucleotides in length.
Source: RNAcentral